UGGGGAAUAUUGCACAAUGGGCGCAAGCCUGAUGCAGCAACGCCGCGUGAACGAAGAAGGUCUUCGGAUUGUAAAGUUCUGUCCUUAGGGAAGAAGAAAGUGACGGUACCUAAGGAGGAAGCCCGCUAACUACGUGCCAGCCAGCCGCGGCUGAAUAACGUAGGGGCAAGCGGGUUAUCCGGAAUGAUUGGGCGUAAAGAGUACGUAGGUGGUUUGUAAGCGCGAGGUGAAAGGCAGUGGCUUAACCAUUGUAAGCCUUGCGAACUGCGAGACUUGAGUGCAGGAGAGGAAAGCGGAAUUCCUAGUGUAGCGGUGAAAUGCUUAGAUAUUAGGAGGAACACCAGUGGCGAAGGCGGCCUGCUGGACAUUAACUGACGCUGAGGCGCGAAAGCGUGGGAGCAAACAGGAUUAGAUACC
This 417-nucleotide ribosomal RNA is filed under the name uncultured bacterium. RNAcentral's name for it is "bacterial SSU rRNA". It matches the Rfam family "Bacterial small subunit ribosomal RNA", at positions 355 to 786 of the family's 1533-position model. The record is from RNAcentral.